RNAcentral lists this small nuclear RNA (20 nucleotides) under Arabidopsis thaliana (thale cress). Its description in RNAcentral is "snRNA_17026". The record is from RNAcentral. Lineage: Eukaryota; Viridiplantae; Streptophyta; Magnoliopsida; Brassicales; Brassicaceae.
AGGCCUCGAUGAGUAGGAGG